GUGCUCACUUCAGUAGCACAUACACUAAAAUAGGAACGAUACAGAGAAGCUUAGCAUGGCCCCUGCACAAGGAUGACGCACAAAUUCAGGAAGCAUUCUAUAUUUUU
Molecule: small nuclear RNA, 107 nt
Organism: Loxodonta africana (African savanna elephant)
Lineage: Eukaryota; Metazoa; Chordata; Mammalia; Proboscidea; Elephantidae
Source: Ensembl